GGGUGCUAUAAUGGCGGAGCUGUUUACUCUUCGUCCACUUUUUCCAGGAGCAAGUGAAACAGACCAAAUCUACAAAAUUUGCAAUAUACUCGGCACUCCAACUAUGGAUACAUGGUCUGGUGGGCUUUGUCUUGCAAGGAACAUCAAUUAUCAAUUCCCGCAGUUUAAAGGUGUUCAUCUCUCUGUUGUUAUUCCCUCAGCCAGUGAUGAUGCAGUCAAUCUUAUUGCAUCACUUUGUUCAUGGGAUCCGUCCAAGAGACCAACCGCUAUGGAAGCCCUCCAACAUCCCUUCUUCCAAAGUUGCUACUACGUUCCACCGUCUCUUCGUGCUAGAGCACCAAUCGCUCGGACCCCUCCUUCUGUUGGAACAAAGGAUUUGCUGGAGCAGCAGACUGCUAAAAGAUAUCCUGUGGCUUUAUCUGAUUCAAGAAUUGCCGGUAAUUUCUCCUCUCCGAAGUUGCCUGCGUUGUUGAGCACAGGUGUGCAGAGGAAGUUGGAUUUGAUGAACCAGGAUGCAAAUAAGAACGAUAAAACUAUGAAAAGCACAAUUAGACAACAGAAAUACCGACCGCCUGUGAGGAAUAGCCCUACGAACUCCAUCUACAAGGGAAAUAAUGUGCGUGGAGUUUCAGAUACAGGUGAAAAGUUGGCAAACAUGACAAUCGCCCCUCGCAAGCCAUCUAUUGGGCAGCUUCCUCGUCCGAUGAAAGCGGGUGUUCGUUGGAGCGGUUCCUCCAGUGAUCUGUUAAUAAGGCCCGCCCAAGAGUUUCAACCUGGCAGCAAUUACCCGAGGAAGGUUGCUGGAUGAUAGCCCCUUCCUCUCGUUAUCCGUCCUUAUACUUUAUGUUUUUUUCUUUGAAGAAUCGUAUGCAACAUCCUCCUGGGAAUUUAUGUAAUAAAUGAUGCCUCUGCUGACUCGUUUGUUUUUUAGUUUUUGUUUGCUACUAUACUCUUAUGUUUAUGUUUGCAUGAUGAAAUAAAAGAUUAUCAAUCUCUUCC
RNAcentral lists this unclassified non-coding RNA (999 nucleotides) under Hevea brasiliensis (rubber tree). Lineage: Eukaryota; Viridiplantae; Streptophyta; Magnoliopsida; Malpighiales; Euphorbiaceae. The record is from RNAcentral.